UACAGAGGUCUCAAGCGUUGUUCGGAUUCAUUGGGCGUAAAGCGUGCGCAGGCGGUGAUGUAAGACAGAUGUGAAAUCCCCGGGCUCAACCUGGGAACUGCAUUUGUGACUGCAUAGCUAGAGUACGGUAGAGGGGGAUGGAAUUCCUAGUGUAGAGGUGAAAUUCGUAGAUAUUAGGAAGAACACCGGUGGCGAAGGCGGCCCACUGGAUCGGUACUGACGCUGAGGUGCGAAAGCGUGGGGAGCAAACAGG
This 253-nucleotide ribosomal RNA is filed under the name uncultured bacterium. RNAcentral describes it as "partial 16S ribosomal RNA". It matches the Rfam family "Bacterial small subunit ribosomal RNA", at positions 524 to 776 of the family's 1533-position model. The record is from RNAcentral.